UACGUAGGGUGCAAGCGUUGUCCGGAAUUAUUGGGCGUAAAGAGCUCGUAGGCGGUUUGUCGCGUCGGCCGUGAAAACUGGAGGCUUAACCUUCAGCGUGCAGUCGAUACGGGCAGACUUGAGUUCGGUAGGGGAGACUGGAAUUCCUGGUGUAGCGGUGAAAUGCGCAGAUAUCAGGAGGAACACCGGUGGCGAAGGCGGGUCUCUGGGCCGAUACUGACGCUGAGGAGCGAAAGCGUGGGGAGCGAACAGG
RNAcentral lists this ribosomal RNA (253 nucleotides) under uncultured bacterium. RNAcentral describes it as "partial 16S ribosomal RNA". It matches the Rfam family "Bacterial small subunit ribosomal RNA", at positions 524 to 776 of the family's 1533-position model. The record is from RNAcentral.